Molecule: non-coding RNA, 73 nt
Organism: Ameiurus melas (black bullhead)
Lineage: Eukaryota; Metazoa; Chordata; Actinopteri; Siluriformes; Ictaluridae
Source: the annotation of a GenBank genome assembly
GCUGUGGUUGUUUAGUGGUUAAAAUGUUUGACUUCUGCUUGGAAAGUCAGGAGUUCAAAUCCCAGCACUACCA